RNAcentral lists this ribosomal RNA (509 nucleotides) under uncultured bacterium. RNAcentral describes it as "partial 16S ribosomal RNA". It matches the Rfam family "Bacterial small subunit ribosomal RNA", at positions 30 to 523 of the family's 1533-position model. The record is from RNAcentral.
AUUGAACGCUGGCGGCAUGCCUAACACAUGCAAGUCGAACGGCAGCACAGUCCGUAGCAAUACGGAUGGGUGGCGAGUGGCGGACGGGUGCGUAAUGUGUAGGGAUCUGCCCUGAAGUGGGGGACAACCCGGGGAAACUCGGGCUAAGACCGCAUAAUACUCUACGGAGGAAAUCUGGCUACGUAAGUAGCUGGAGCUUUAGGAUGAACCUACAUCCGAUUAGCUAGUUGGUGAGGUAAUGGCUCACCAAGGCGAUGAUCGGUAGCUGGUCUGAGAGGAUGACCAGCCACACUGGGACUGAGACACGGCCCAGACUCCUACGGGAGGCAGCAGUGGGGAAUAUUGGACAAUGGGGGAAACCCUGAUCCAGCAAUGCCGCGUGGGUGAAGAAGGCCUUCGGGUUGUAAAGCCCUUUAGGUGGGGAAGAAGGUUUUAGGGCGAUAAGCCCUAGAAUUUGACGGUACCCACAGAAUAAGCACCGGCUAACUCUGUGCCAGCCGCCGCCGUAA